Molecule: transfer RNA, 72 nt
Filed under: Bos indicus (zebu cattle)
Lineage: Eukaryota; Metazoa; Chordata; Mammalia; Artiodactyla; Bovidae
Also listed under: 2 other names
Rfam family: tRNA
About the family: Transfer RNA (tRNA) molecules are approximately 80 nucleotides in length. Their secondary structure includes four short double-helical elements and three loops (D, anti-codon, and T loops).
Source: Rfam by way of RNAcentral
UCCCUUGUGGCUCAGCUGGUAAAGAAUCUGUCUGCAAUACAGGAGACCUGGGUUCGAUCCCUGGGUUGGGAA